UGCAGUCGACGAUGAAGGCUGGAGCUUGCUCUGGCUGGAUUAGUGGCGAACGGGUGAGUAACACGUGAGCAAUCUGCCCUUGACUCUGGGAUAAGCGUUGGAAACGACGUCUAAUACCGGAUACGACCCUCGGAGGCAUCUCCUGGGGGUGGAAAGAAUUUUGGUCAAGGAUGAGCUCGCGGCCUAUCAGCUAGUUGGUGAGGUAAUGGCUCACCAAGGCGACGACGGGUAGCCGGCCUGAGAGGGUGACCGGCCACACUGGGACUGAGACACGGCCCAGACUCCUACGGGAGGCAGCAGUGGGGAAUAUUGCACAAUGGGCGAAAGCCUGAUGCAGCAACGCCGCGUGAGGGAUGACGGCCUUCGGGUUGUAAACCUCUUUUAGUAGGGAAGAAGCGAAAGUGACGGUACCUGCAGAAAAAGCACCGGCUAACUACGUGCCAGCAGCCGCGGUAAUACGUAGGGUGCAAGCGUUGUCCGGAAUUAUUGGGCGUAAAGAGCUCGUAGGCGGUUUGUCGCGUCUGCUGUGAAAUCUGGGGGCUCAACCCCCAGCCUGCAGUGGGUACGGGCAGACUAGAGUGCGGUAGGGGAGAUUGGAAUUCCUGGUGUAGCGGUGGAAUGCGCAGAUAUCAGGAGGAACACCAAUGGCGAAGGCAGAUCUCUGGGCCGUAACUGACGCUGAGGAGCGAAAGCAUGGGGAGCGAACAGGAUUAGAUACCCUGGUAGUCCAUGCCGUAAACGUUGGGAACUAGAUGUGGGGACCAUUCCACGGUCUCCGUGUCGCAGCUAACGCAUUAAGUUCCCCGCCUGGGGAGUACGGCCGCAAGGCUAAAACUCAAAGGAAUUGACGGGGGCCCGCACAAGCGGCGGAGCAUGCGGAUUAAUUCGAUGCAACGCGAAGAACCUUACCAAGACUUGACAUAUACGAGAACGCUGCAGAAAUGUAGAACUCUUUGGACACUCGUAAACAGGUGGUGCAUGGUUGUCGUCAGCUCGUGUCGUGAGAUGUUGGGUUAAGUCCCGCAACGAGCGCAACCCUCGUCCUAUGUUGCCAGCACGUAAUGGUGGGAACUCAUGGGAUACUGCCGGGGUCAACUCGGAGGAAGGUGGGGAUGACGUCAAAUCAUCAUGCCCCUUAUGUCUUGGGCUUCACGCAUGCUACAAUGGCCGGUACAAAGGGCUGCGAUACCGUAAGGUGGAGCGAAUCCCAAAAAGCCGGUCUCAGUUCGGAUUGAGGUCUGCAACUCGACCUCAUGAAGUCGGAGUCGCUAGUAAUCGCAGAUCAGCAACGCUGCGGUGAAUACGUUCCCGGGCCUUGUACACACCGCCCGUCAAGUCAUGAAAGUCGGUAACACCCAACGCCGGUGGCCUAACCCGUAAGGGAGGGAGC
Molecule: ribosomal RNA, 1390 nt
Filed under: Leifsonia sp.
Lineage: Bacteria; Bacillati; Actinomycetota; Actinomycetes; Micrococcales; Microbacteriaceae
Description: bacterial SSU rRNA
Rfam family: Bacterial small subunit ribosomal RNA
Source: RNAcentral